UUUUUAUUUUUAUUUUUUUUAAAUUUUGUUUCGUUUUGUUUCAUUGUGUGCUUACCAUCUUAUCCACAUACUUAUACAACUGCCCAUUUCAUUUCUACUUUGCUCAUCUAGUAAGUGUGGUGCUUUUCUUCACUGAAUAUGUUGUUUUGUAAAUAUAGACAUUAUCUAGUGUUAGUGUAAGAUAAUAUCUAUUGGUAAUUUUUCAACAGCACUUCAAGCCAUAUGAAAAUGUGCUCGCUACUUGUGUGAUUUCACUUGUUUUUAUAAUCGACAAAGGUCACUUAUAAUUUUAUUUAUUUUCUUUUUUUCUUUUUUU
Molecule: unclassified non-coding RNA, 316 nt
Filed under: Hevea brasiliensis (rubber tree)
Lineage: Eukaryota; Viridiplantae; Streptophyta; Magnoliopsida; Malpighiales; Euphorbiaceae
Source: RNAcentral